Long non-coding RNA from Pan troglodytes (chimpanzee), 1418 nucleotides. RefSeq lists it as uncharacterized. NCBI's taxonomy places the organism in Eukaryota, Metazoa, Chordata, Mammalia, Primates, Hominidae. The transcript has 3 exons. The record is from RefSeq and is a predicted model, not a curated record.
UAAGCCCCUUCCAUUCUAGGACAUAGUAACUUUAUUAAUAAUAACUAACUCAAUAAUUCAAAUAUCCAUCAUUGGGAGAACAGACAAGUAGCUUAUGAUAUAGUCAUACUAUAGAAACCACUCAAAAAUAAAAAAUAAUGAACUAUUGAUACAGGCAAUAUUGAUAAAUCUCAAAAAUGUUAUGUUGAACAAAAUAAGCUAAACAUGAAAUAGUGCAUACACUUUGCUUUCAUUUAUAUGAAGUUCACAAAAAGACAAAAGUUAUAUCCAGAGAUAGAAAGCAGACAGUGGUUUCUUGUGGUAGGUGGGUAUUGACCAGAAGGCAGAAGUGAUGAAAACGUUUUUGCAGCUGUACACAUUUGUCAAAACUCAUCAAAUUGUAUGCCUCAGAUCUGUGCAUUUCUUUAUAAGUAAUUUUAGCUCAACAAAAUCAACGAGAAGCAUACUUAGCAACUCUUUUGUAAUUAUUCAUUAGCACAAAUAACCAGGAUUGACCUCAGAUGUUUUUGGAAUCUGAGAUGUCAAUCACAAGCCAAGAACAUUUCUAAACACAUCAAUUUGAAAAGAAGGAAACAAAUUGUCUUGGAAGCUAUUUUGUGCCCUUAGAAACUCUUGAAUUCCAUGAGAGUGCGUUUUUCUAGAUGAGGUCACGGGCAUUUUCAGAGUCAUCAUAAAUUAGCCCGAGUGUCUGAAGAGGUCACGCGGGGACAAGGGGAAGUUCCAGAACUUCUUAUUCUCACAGACUUUCCCUUCAUAAAGAAUCUUUCCUGGAAUUUAGGAACAUGACACCUCCAGGUCUGUAGCUCAGUAACCACUAAAGAGCUUGGCUAUAAUCCUUUUCCCUGAAAGGCCUUGCCGGGAAGUGCCGAACAUCACCUGAAGGCAGCAGGAGGUAGAAGAGUGUGUGGAAAGGAGUUCUGUAUGCAGCUGAAGGGUAACACCCCUUGGGAGCUUUUGCCUUGUCUGGCUGACGCCUUGGCAAUCGCAAGUGACAGUGAUGGAGAGCCACCUCCUCUGGAAUGCAUCAUGGAACAGAAAGGGAAAAGCCAGGCAUUUGUAGUCCUCCUGCCACAGAUGACCAGAAUGACCUCACCCAGGACAAACGGCGACAGAUUUAGGAAUUCAAGCCAGAUUUUCUGACUCCCAGGCACCUGCUCUCUCCUUUCGAGUGUUCGACUCCACUCUCAGUCACUCGUCACUCCUCCCAGAAGGACAAAUGUGCAGCUUCUAUGUCUUGGAUUUCAAAUAAAAGACGAGGAACUUGGUGAAAUGAGGUGGUCUUUGCCUUCCGCGUCACUCUCUGCUCCUCCUGGCAAGAGGCCCCAUUUUUCUUGCCACUGAGGUUAAGUGAAAACGAAACAAAACAAACAAACAAAAAAGAGGCCCCGUUCACAGUAAAGAUAAACAGCAGCCUGGGC